Molecule: non-coding RNA, 77 nt
Organism: Lupinus angustifolius (narrow-leaved blue lupine)
Lineage: Eukaryota; Viridiplantae; Streptophyta; Magnoliopsida; Fabales; Fabaceae
Source: Rfam
UGAAUCUUCGAAUUGCCGAGUACUCAAACAUUGUUUUGAGUUCUGUGAUUCUGCAUUUGAAUAGGAAGAUCUGAUGC